RNAcentral lists this non-coding RNA (79 nucleotides) under Fischerella thermalis JSC-11. RNAcentral's name for it is "Fischerella sp. JSC-11 Photosynthesis regulatory RNA1". It matches the Rfam family "Photosynthesis regulatory RNA1". Rfam says of the family: Formerly known as Syr1 discovered in Synechocystis sp PCC 6803, is a regulatory factor controlling photosynthetic functions. PsrR1 interacts with the ribosome binding regions of several photosynthesis-related mRNAs. Lineage: Bacteria; Bacillati; Cyanobacteriota; Cyanophyceae; Nostocales; Hapalosiphonaceae. The record is from Rfam by way of RNAcentral.
AAGAUUUUCUUUCUCGCAAUAUCUCUUAUUGUCAUUCGUUCUUCUCUGCGUUACCUCGGUCGGUUUCACCGGGGUUUUU